CCUACGGGAGACAGCAGUGGGGAAUAUUGGGCAAUGGGCGCAAGCCUGACCCAGCAACGCCGCGUGAAGGAAGAAGGUUCUCGGGUUGUAAACUUCUUUUAUCCGGGAAGAAGCAAGUGACGGUACCUGAUGUAUAAGCCACGGCUAACUACGUGCCAGCAGUCGCGGUAAUACGUCGGUGGCAGGCGUUUUCCGGAUUUACUGGGUAUAAAGGGCGGGUAGGCGGGAAAGCAAGUCAGAUGGGAAAACCAUGGGCUCAACCUGUUGCCAGCAUUGGAAACUGUUUUUCUUGAGUACUGGAGAGGCAGACGGAAUGCCUAGUGUAGCGGUGAAAUGCGUAGAUAUUAGGAGGAACACCAGUGGCGAAGGCGGUCUGCUGGACAGCAACUGACGCUGAGGCGCGAAAGCGUGGGGAGCAAACAGGAUUAGAUACCCGAGUAGUC
This 443-nucleotide ribosomal RNA is filed under the name uncultured bacterium. RNAcentral describes it as "partial 16S ribosomal RNA". It matches the Rfam family "Bacterial small subunit ribosomal RNA", at positions 338 to 795 of the family's 1533-position model. The record is from RNAcentral.